This 253-nucleotide ribosomal RNA is filed under the name uncultured bacterium. RNAcentral's name for it is "partial 16S ribosomal RNA". It matches the Rfam family "Bacterial small subunit ribosomal RNA", at positions 524 to 776 of the family's 1533-position model. The record is from RNAcentral.
UACAGAGGAGCCAAGCGUUGUCCGGAAUUACUGGGCGUAAAGAGCUCGUAGGUGGUUUGUCGCGUUGUCCGUGAAAACUCACAACUCAAUUGUGGGCGUGCGGGCGAUACGGGCAGACUGGAGUACUGCAGGGGAGACUGGAAUUCCUGGUGUAGCGGUGGAAUGCGCAGAUAUCGUAAGGAAGACCAGUGGCGAAGGCGGGUCUCUGGACAACACCUGACACUGAGGCACGAAGGCCAGGGGAGCAAACGGG